Long non-coding RNA from Mus musculus (house mouse), 2077 nucleotides. RefSeq annotates it as predicted gene, 33627. The record is from RefSeq and is a predicted model, not a curated record. The transcript is spliced from 4 exons. Lineage: Eukaryota; Metazoa; Chordata; Mammalia; Rodentia; Muridae.
GGACUCGCGAGGCGGCGAAGCCAACCGGAGUGCAGCCCUGCAGCCUUUGGAAAAAGUAAUUAGCGCUGCGGACAAACCCAACAUGGCCCCUACUCACCCCUCAUCACAGGAUCCAGACUUCAUCACAGGGCUGAAUUACCAGAAAGCAUCCAGAGACGAGGUAAACACUGGAGGAAGAAGAAGCAAUCAGCUCUCUACGGGAUGAAUGCUAAUGAAGGCAGGACCGCUCCAAGAGACAAAAUCCUUGGAGAGACCAGAAGCCCAUACCUGCCAAGGAUUCCAAAUGAACAAGGAAGAUAAGGAAGACCAGUAUGGAACAUGUUUGGGGGAAUCUUCCUACCAUCAAAGUGGGAAUGGGACCUAAGAGGAAUGCCCAGCCCGAAGCUAUGCUGGCCCAAGAACUCAUAGCUUUUGUCUCGAGUCCUGCAGCAGUUGCUAUGCACUGAAGACAAGAGCCAGGGAACAAGUGAGUUCUUGAGUGGCCCCAGUAGAGCCUUUCAGCGUGUCUCUAGGUCCGUCUGUUUUGUAGCCUCAUUUUCUUUUAUUUAUCACAUUUGGUGGGUUUUGUCCUGUGUCUACCCCCUCCCUUUCUCUCACUUCCUUAAAAGGAGUUCAAGACUCACCUGGUGGAUGGUUUUAUUGGCAAGAACAAGGUUUGGACAACUUGGCCAGAGGCUUUCUGAUUGGAUCUGAAAGAAUCCACGCCUGACACACUAAAACCCAUAAAACCCACCCAUGGUUGGUGUGGGCAUGGGGCCUAUCGGUUAACUUACUGCUGUUACUCAGUAAAAUCUAUGGCGUGGUAUUAGACUGCCUUGCAAACAUUUAUGUUUAUACUAAUAGGCAGAGACCACUCCGCUUACUCAGAGAAACCUUUCUGCAAUUCACUUACUGCAGUUAAUGCAACAACCAUGACUGCUCAGAGUGUGGAGGGCAAGGGAGCAUUCAGGAGACUCCACCCCUCACUCUAAGGCUCAGGGAAUGUGGAGGGACAGGAUUCAGAAAGGAAGGAGCUUGAAGACAAGGGGAAAGAGCUGUAGAGGCCGUGUUCUGGUCUUGACUCAGCCAUGACAAUCGUCCCCACCCAUGGGCAGUUGUCUGCUCUGGGUCUGUGCAAGGCUAGGCCUGUCAGUCAGUUGAGAAUGGAAGAGGGACUCGUGGGGCCCUAUCCCUCCUAGCUGAUCUACUUACUACCUACUGAUGGAUUCAAGAGAAUCCUUCCUAGCUGAACUACUGGCUACUGAAUCAGAACAAGAGGAGUUGGUGUGGUCUUUAGUUUCCAUCUACUGAGGAGCCCUGCAGACUCCAUUGGGCAGCUUUGAACUUGUAGGUAUAAGACAUCUCUGGGAAAACACAGUGAGCCAUAAAAACAAAGCAGAGAGUCGUGAAUGAGGGUAAGGGGGGAGUGGAAGUAGGUUGUGGGUGGGGCUAGCAAGAGAUGAGAGUGGGUGGGGUGAGGGUAAUUGGAAUGCAUUAAUAUACAUGCCUGAAAAUGUCAAAGAGCAAAUUUAAUUGAUUAAAAAACUGUGCAAUAAAAUAAAAGCAACAGGCAGUAGGACACAGCGAGACAGCAGUUUCGCACUGCCUCACGGGGACUCAGGAUUGCUCAGUAUGAACUUUGAGAGACAGGCUGGGUUAUCUGCCAGUCCUGGUUACAGGACAGAGCAGUGGCAGUGACAGACGGAAGCCAGUACAUGAGCAGAUGGACGAGCACAUUGAAACUUCAGUCCCUUAGCAUACACCACCAGUUCUGGGGUCUGGCUAACGCAGAGAGGGACUUUGGUUACACUGUUUUAUCACAGCAAUACUAAUCCUACGAAAGGUAUCUUUGCAGAAACAAUAUUUUAAUGAAGUCCAGGGAACCUCCCCUCCUCCCCAAAAGUUUAUAGUCUUGCUGAACAUAGUGGUACAUACCUUGUCAACUCUAUCACUCUGUAAGCCGAGAUAAGGAAAAUUAAUUGAAGGCCAGCCUGGGCUACAUAAUGAGACCCUUUGUCCAAAAGGCAAAGGCUGGUGUCAUGGUUUGUAUAUGCUUGGCCCAGAGAGUGACACUAUUAGAAGGUGUGGUCCUACUGGA